CAUUUAAUAGAGUUAACUAUACUCUUACUCUAUGUACUGCCAAGCUGUGUAAAUUGUGGCGGUUAGAUUAGUUAAGGAUGUUAUGCAUGGCUAGAAAGUUAGUUAGUCACUUAAAUGACGUGGCACUUAGUUGCUUCUGUACUAGUCAUUGUAUUUCACUUUAUAAAUACUUAAGCAGAAGCUCAACACAAGUGAACGAAUUCAGUAUCAUCAUUUUACACCAAAAUCACCUUUUCUUCUCUAAGAAAUUCCCUUAACAGUUCUC
This 265-nucleotide long non-coding RNA is filed under the name Arachis ipaensis. Its description in RNAcentral is "long non-coding RNA (AIPA_LNC000558)". Lineage: Eukaryota; Viridiplantae; Streptophyta; Magnoliopsida; Fabales; Fabaceae. The record is from RNAcentral.